UAUCACUAAGCGGAGGAAAAGAAACUAACCAGGAUUCCCCUAGUAACGGCGAGUGAAGAGGGAAUAGCCCAGCACCGAAGCCUGUGGCAGUUUUGCUGCAAGGCAAUGUGGUGUUUAGGUCGAUUUAUGGACAUGCCACUCCAUUCGAAGUCCAGCACUGAGUAUGGUUCCAAUGGACUUGGCCCAGAGAGGGUGAAAGGCCCGUGCGGAUGGAGGUAUCAGGUAUGAUGGUGUGUCCCCGAGUUGACCUUGGAGUCGGGUUGUUUGAGAUUGCAGCCCAAAGCGGGUGGUAAACUCCAUCCAAGGCUAAAUACUAGCACGAGUCCGAUAGCGAACAAGUACCGUGAGGGAAAGUUGAAAAGUACUUUGAAGAGAGAGUAAACAGUACGUGAAACCGCCUAGAGGUAAACGGGUGGCGUCAAGCUGCAAGCCCGGAGGAUUCAAUUGGUCAGUGUUUGUGCUCGUGUGCUUGGGCACGCCAGUCAACUUGGAGGGUCGUCACCAGUAUUGGUGAGCUGGUUGGUUUACGCCUGCCGGUAUUCUGUUGCAUGGUAUGUGGCAGAGGCUCACACCAAGUGUUGUAAUUGGACUGACUGGCCGAUGCACUUCCUCCGUGGUGGACACCACGACCGGCGGAACUGUCAGUCUGCCUUGACCAGAACAGGUUGUUGCGUAGCUGUGUAAAUGGUUGCGUGCUCCUGUUAUUCAACGGUAUUCGGUGUGGAGUGUAGUGGGUGUCAAAGCCUGUUACUGCUCUCACUGGGUGCAAGCAGGCCUGUUGCCCUUCAGGGGGUGACUUGACUGGUGGGACUUGGUGGUAUGUAUAACUGUACAGGGCGCCGGAGUUGACGGUCACAUUGCACUACGGGGCGUACGGUGCGUAUGGACUUGCGGUUAGCUGUUGAACGACGUGACGCUUGUGCAAACAAGCCCGAUGGUGGUUGACACUUGUGCUGUGCGUAGUGUAUGUGCGCUGGUGGAGUGUUAUGAAGGACCUAUAGAUCUGUGGUGCUGUGGUAGACUAGCCA
RNAcentral lists this ribosomal RNA (1028 nucleotides) under Gyrocotyle urna. RNAcentral describes it as "eukaryotic LSU rRNA". It matches the Rfam family "Eukaryotic large subunit ribosomal RNA", at positions 41 to 664 of the family's 3401-position model. The record is from RNAcentral. Lineage: Eukaryota; Metazoa; Platyhelminthes; Cestoda; Gyrocotylidea; Gyrocotylidae.